Molecule: ribosomal RNA, 465 nt
Filed under: uncultured bacterium
Lineage: Bacteria
Description: partial 16S ribosomal RNA
Rfam family: Bacterial small subunit ribosomal RNA
Source: RNAcentral
GACGAACGCUGGCGGCGUGCUUAACACAUGCAAGUCGAACGGAAAGGCCCCUUUGGGGGUACUCGAGUGGCGAACGGGUGAGUAACACGUGAGUAACCUGCCCUUGACUUCGGGAUAACUUCAGGAAACUGGGGCUAAUACCGGAUAGGAAUCCUUGCUGCAUGGUGGGGGUUGGAAAGCUUCGGCGGUUUUGGAUGGACUCGCGGCUUAUCAGCUUGUUGGUGGGGUAGUGGCUUACCAAGGCUUUGACGGGUAGCCGGCCUGAGAGGGCGACCGGCCACAUUGGGACUGAGAUACGGCCCAGACUCCUACGGGAGGCAGCAGUGGGGAAUAUUGCACAAUGGGCGGAAGCCUGAUGCAGCAACGCCGCAGGCGGGAUGACGGCCUUCGGGUUGUAAACCGCUUUCAGCAGGGGCGAAGCUUGUGGUGACGGUACCUGCAGAAGAAGCACCGGCUAACUACGUG